CUAUCCCAACCAGUGGCAGAAUCCCUACCACAAUUAUUCUAAUUCGUAUGGUUCUACAUAUACAAUGUCUGGCACAGCAAUGGCUGCUGCAAAUGAGUGGCAGAAGCCAAGUUUUGGAGCCUGUGCCCCACCGUCUUACUUAUAUCAUCCUCUUUCUCCAGCAUCUGGUGGUAUUUCAUGCACAUCAAGUCAGUUAAUGAAACCAGAUACUUCUCAGAAAGUAAAAGAAACUUCUUUGGAAAGGAAAAAGAAUAAAACAAAAAAGGAGAAAAAUCAAAAAAAUAAAAGUCAGCAAAGUUGUUCUCAGGAUACUAGUUUGCAGAAUUCUUCAGAUUUUGAACAAAAUUGCAAUAAAUUAAAUAAUAAUUAUUUGCCAUAUAAUCAGAACUGUGGUUGGGCGACACCAUUGCAUGGUUAUCAAAAUGGAAGGCCUUAUUCACCAAACCCUGCUGGUUAUUAUAAUCAACAGUACUGUUUAUAUUCUGGUCCAAAGGAGCAAACCUCUUCAUCUUCUGCAAAAUACUCACAGCAAAGUGUGCCUAGUAACAACAAUAAUUAUAAAUUCACUGCCACCAAUAAUUGCGUUAACUACCCAGCUAAUAAUUGCAGAAGUAACUACAAUUAUAAUUAUCCAGCCAUGGGGUUAUCUAGCAAUAGCAUUAACCCAAAAACUGAGUUAUCCAACAAUAACAAUUAUCUGGCUACAAGAGUGUCAAACAACAAUGAUAACAACAAUAAUUACUUAGCUGUAGAGCAAUCAGGCUGUAACCAGAAUAGCUACAACCCAGCUAUGAAGCAAUCUAACAACAUAAACAAUGGUUACUAUUCAGCUAUGGAGCAGCAUAACAAUUUAAAUAAUGGUUACAUGUCUAACUCAAGCCCCACAACACAUUGUGAGCUGCCCUCCCAACAACAUAAUAAAAACAAGACCCACCACCAGUAUCAGGCGGUCAAUACUGGUUUUCUGUCAACCACACAACAAAAUAAUUACAACAUGCCCCCAAACUUUAAUCAACAACAGAACAGUUGUUAUCCAACAACAUCAUACUUUACAUCAUGGCAACAGUCAGAGAAUUAUUCUUAUUCAGGACCACAAACUUCGUCCUUUUAUUCUUCUUCUCCAGUGGCACCAGUUUCUGAUGGUUUCAAUUCAACAUCUCCUAAUUAUCAAUCUCCAUCCACAUCUCCUACAUCUGUUUCUAAUCCUCAAACAUUUAAUACUACCCCGCCAAGUUCGUCUUUCUUUUCAAACCAAACGGCAUCCUAUCCCCAUGUGGGUGGCCAAUCAUACUCUCAGUAUUGGUAUCAAUAUAGCUACCCUUACUAUGGAGGUUAUCCAAGUUUUUAUAGCUACCCUUACUGCCAGUAUACUUCAUCAGCUCCUUGUUCAGCUAAUGCCCAGGUGAAUUGUGGUCAAAGAAAUAUGCAAUUUGGAAAUCUGAAGUCUGGAGAAAAAGCUUCUAUCCCUGAAACUAUCUUCGUCCCAAAUUACAGAGGUGCCGAGGUGAGUGUUGAUGGCAAAUAUCUCCUGCUGUCUCCUAAUGAAGGAUGUGAUCCAGUCAACCGAUUGUUUUAUGUUGAACUUGACAAACUUCCUAAUGGCAUUACAGAAAACCUUCCAUAUGUGAAGCUUAUUGACAACUUCGAUGCCCAGUAUGAGUAUAUCACCAAUGAAGGCAGUGUCUUUACGUUCCUCACCAACUUGAACGCACCAAAGUACAAAAUUAUUAAUAUUGACUUCCAAAAUCCUGACCCGAAAAAUUGGAAGACUCUCGUUGAAGAAGAUAAAAAUGCCGUUUUGGAAUGGGCUUCCUGUGUCAACCACAAUAAACUUGUACUUUGUUAUUUAAAAGAUGUCAAGAAUAAGCUGUAUGUACAUCGACUGGAAACUGGAGUACUGGAAGCUGAGAUACCUUUAGACAUUGGCACCAUAAUUGGUUGUUCAGGAAGAAAGAAAAGCAAAGAGAUUUUUAUCCACUUCAUGUCUUUUCUGACUCCUGGCAUUAUCUAUCGUGUGGAUAUGACAGUUGACAAACCAACUCCUGAGGUAUUCCGGACAAUUAAAGUGAAUAAUUUUGACUUCAGCCAGUUUGAAGUUCAACAAGUGUUUUAUCCAAGCAAAGAUGGAACCCAGAUUCCAAUGUUUCUGGUUCAUAAAAAAGGUUUGGUUCGUAAUGGUAACACACCAACAUUUUUGUAUGGCUAUGGAGGCUUUGACAUCUCAAUGAAACCAACAUUCAGUGUUUCGAGAUUGGUUUUUCUCAAGGAUUUAGAUGGAGUGUAUGCUCUAGCCAAUAUUCGAGGUGGUGGGGAGUAUGGUGAAAAAUGGCACAAGAGUGGCACCCAUGCCAAAAAACAAAACGUCUUUGAUGAUUUCCAUGCUGCUGCUGAAUAUCUCAUUAAUCAAAAGUACACCUGCCCCAAAAAGUAAACUUGUCAUCCAUGGUCAAUCAAAUGGCGGACUGCUUGUUGCAGCCUGCAUAAACCAGCGUCCAGAGCUGUAUGGAGUUGCUCUUGCUCAAGUGGGUGUAAUGGAUAUGUUUCGGUUCCAUAAAUUCACCA
This 2562-nucleotide unclassified non-coding RNA is filed under the name Octopus sinensis (East Asian common octopus). RNAcentral describes it as "prolyl endopeptidase, transcript variant X1". The record is from RNAcentral. Lineage: Eukaryota; Metazoa; Mollusca; Cephalopoda; Octopoda; Octopodidae.